This 253-nucleotide ribosomal RNA is filed under the name uncultured bacterium. RNAcentral's name for it is "partial 16S ribosomal RNA". It matches the Rfam family "Bacterial small subunit ribosomal RNA", at positions 524 to 776 of the family's 1533-position model. The record is from RNAcentral.
UACGAAGGGGGCUAGCGUUGCUCGGAAUCACUGGGCGUAAAGCGCACGUAGGCGGCUUCUUAAGUCAGGGGUGAAAUCCUGGAGCUCAACUCCAGAACUGCCCUUGAUACUGAGGAGCUUGAGUCCGGGAGAGGUGAGUGGAACUGCGAGUGUAGAGGUGAAAUUCGUAGAUAUUCGCAAGAACACCAGUGGCGAAGGCGAGUCUCUGGACGAUUCCUGACACUGAGGCACGAAAGCCAGGGGAGCAAACGGG